AUUCCAAUCGAAUCCGGAUAUAGCUGGUUCUCCUCGAAAUAGCUUUAGGGCUAGCCUCAACGUGAGAAUAUCGGGGGUAGAGCACUGAAUGGGCUAGGGGCCUUCACGGGUUACCGAACCUUAUCAAACUGCGAAUACCGAAUAUUUAUAGUUGGGAGUCAGACGGCGUGAGAUAAGUUUCGUCGUCAAAAGGGAAACAGCCCAGAUCUACAGCUAAGGUCCCCAAGUUAAGGUUAAGUGGUAAAGGAUGUGGCAUUGCACAGACAACCAGGAUGUUGGCUUAGAAGCAGCCACACAUUCAAAGAGUGCGUAAUAGCUCACUGGUCGAGUGACGCUGCGCCGAAGAUUCCCGGGGCUAAAACCUUACACCGAAGCUUAGGAUUCAUAGAGAUAUGAGUGGUAGAGGAGCAAUGUAUGCGGGCAGAAGCCGUAUCGAAAGGGGCGGUGGACUGCAUACAAGAGAGAAUGCCGGCAUAAGUAGCGAGAGAGAAGUGAGAAACUUUUCCGUCGAAAGCCUAAGGUUUCCUGGGGAAGGUUCGUCCGCCCAGGGUAAGUCGGGACCUAAGUUGAGGCCGAAAGGCGUAGAUGAUGGACAACGGGUAGAUAUUCCCGUACCACCGCAAUAGUUCGAAGCAGGGACACAGAAGGAUAGUCGGACUCCGGGGAUGGAAAGCCGGGGCUAAGUCAUGAGGCCGGCACGUAGUGAAGUACGCGUGUCGCGAGGCUGGGUGACGAUGGGGAGCGAAAACUAGUAGCGAAGCCGAUGAAUUCACGCUGGCGAGAAAAACUGCUAAGGUAGAUAUUGAGGUGCCCGUACCGCAAACCGACACAGGUAGGCGGCAAGAGAAUUGCAAGACGAACGGGAUAACCAUUGGUUAAGGAACUCGGCAAAAUGACCCCGUAACUUAGGGAGAAGGGGAGCCUAGCGAUAGGUCGCAGUGAAAAGGCCCAAGCGACUGUUUAUCAAAAACACAGGUCUCUGCAAAAGCGAAAGCUGAAGUAUAGGGGCUGACGCCUGCCCGGUGCUGGAAGGUCAAGGGGAAGAGUUAGGAGAAAAUCCGAAGCUUAGAACUUAAGCCCCAGUGAACGGCGGCCGUAACAAUAACGGUCCUAAGGUAGCGAAAUUCCUUGUCAGGUAAGUUCUGACCCGCAUGAAUGGCGUAACGAUUUGGGCGCUGUCUCAACCAUGGACCCGGCGAAAUUGUAGUAUAUGUGAAGAUGCAUAUUACCUGCGACUGGACGGAAAGACCCCGUAGAGCUUCACUGUAAGUUGAUAUUGAAUUUCGGUAAUAAAUGCACAGGAUAGGUGGGAGGCUGAGAAGAUGCUGCUUCGGCAGUAUCGGAGCCGACGUUGGGAUACCACCCUUUUGUUACUGGACUUCUAACGCUAUGCGCUGAGUCGCGGUGGCGGACAUUGUCAGCUGGACAGUUUGACUGGGGCGGUCGCCUCCUAAAGAGUAACGGAGGCGUUCAAAGGUUCCCUCAGGAUGGUUGGAAACCAUUCACAGAGUAUAAAGGCAGAAGGGAGCUUGACUGCGAGACCAACAAGUCGAGCAGAUACGAAAGUAGGACUUAGUGAUCCGGCGGUAGAGAAUGGAAUUGCCGUCGCUUAACGGAUAAAAGUUACCUCGGGGAUAACAGGCUUAUCUCUCCCAAGAGUUCACAUCGACGGGGAGGUUUGGCACCUCGAUGUCGGCUCGUCACAUCCUGGGGCUGUAGCAGGUCCCAAG
This 1730-nucleotide ribosomal RNA is filed under the name human gut metagenome. RNAcentral describes it as "bacterial LSU rRNA". It matches the Rfam family "Bacterial large subunit ribosomal RNA", at positions 826 to 2569 of the family's 2925-position model. The record is from RNAcentral.